This 468-nucleotide ribosomal RNA is filed under the name uncultured bacterium. Its description in RNAcentral is "partial 16S ribosomal RNA". It matches the Rfam family "Bacterial small subunit ribosomal RNA", at positions 28 to 507 of the family's 1533-position model. The record is from RNAcentral.
GACGAACGCUGGCGGCGUGCUUAACACAUGCAAGUCGAACGGAAAGGCCCUGCUUUUGUGGGGUGCUCGAGUGGCGAACGGGGGAGUAACACGUGAGUAACCUGCCCUUGACUUUGGGAUAACUUCAGGAAACUGGGGCUAAUACCGGAUAGGAGCUCCUGCUGCAUGGUGGGGGUUGGAAAGUUUCGGCGGUUGGGGAUGGACUCGCGGCUUAUCAGCUUGUUGGUGGGGUAGUGGCUUACCAAGGCUUUGACGGGUAGCCGGCCUGAGAGGGUGACCGGCGACAUGGGGACUAAGAGACGGCGCAGACUCCUACGGGAGGCAGCAGUGGGGAAUAUUGCACAAUGGGCGGAAGUCUGAUGCAGCAGCGCCGCGUGCGGGAUGACGGCCUUCGGGUUGUAAACCGCUUUCGCCUGUGACGAAGCGUGAGUGACGGUAAUGGGUAAAGAAGCACCGGCUAACUACGUG